UGUUGAUGUGGUUGAAACGGGAAAUUGAAGACGCUUGCAUCUUCUUUCGAGCUUGGCUAUGGACGCGUGGCUAACAGUUCAACGCGACUAUCGGUAU
Molecule: transfer RNA, 97 nt
Filed under: Roseibium album
Lineage: Bacteria; Pseudomonadati; Pseudomonadota; Alphaproteobacteria; Hyphomicrobiales; Stappiaceae
Description: Labrenzia alba tRNA-Ala
Source: RNAcentral